Molecule: long non-coding RNA, 1010 nt
Organism: Lytechinus pictus (painted urchin)
Lineage: Eukaryota; Metazoa; Echinodermata; Echinoidea; Temnopleuroida; Toxopneustidae
Exons: 3
Source: RefSeq, a predicted model, not a curated record
ACACGAGGACGAUUAGUUCCUGGGUCAUGACCUCUUACCCCGACGUCAGCUUCUGCUCUUGACUGAUUUUUGAUGUUUUUGAUCAGAUUGUAGCCAAGAAAUCAGAAUGGUGACCGACGUGCAACUUGCCAUCUUUGCCAACAUCCUAGGAGUGAGUCUAUUCCUCCUGGUUGUCUUAUAUCAUUUUGUCGCUGUCAACAAUCCCAAGAGCAAGACGGAAUGAGCUCAGUACUCUAGGUGUAAAUAUCCUGUACAGAUUGAAUUUUAUGACCCCCUUGUGAAUCACCAGUGCUACAUGAGCAUCAACAGGAUACCAUCAUGUUCAGAUGACUGAGAUGAAAGUAACCUCUUCCUCAAACCAACUGGCAUUCCCCUUCAGCAACAGACGAUGUGCAGUGUUCACACUAGUCCUAGGAUCUACCAAUGGUAGCAUGGUGCAAGACAUACAAUCUUCUUCAGUGUGAACGUGCCACGAUGUCUCCAGGAAAAGUGCCUGGUUCCAAUAUUAUCAUAACCAUCUUUGUAACCUAACAGAAUGUUGUUGACCAUAAUGCUAGAGUCCCACCUACGGAACCAACUCAAAGUUAAACCCUGCCGAUGAUAUGCUAUUCCGGGACAAUGUAAUGUCUUUGGUUGGUCAGAGGUCAGUUUUGUUUGUGUCACUAUAGCAUUACAGCAUAAGUGUCCAAGAUCAGAGGUCGGUUUAUUACCGGUUAUGGUGGCAGCAAUGUUUCAUCGUCCAGAAUUCGAUUCCAAUAAAGUUCCCUUGAAAUGUCCUACUUUUACAAAGCCAUAAAGUCAUAUUCAACAAUCAUGUAGCUGUUAUUAUCAUUUAUUAAUUACAUUUUGACAAAAUUAUAUUUUUUUUCUGUUGAUAUAAGACAAUUACAUACCCUUUAUACUGGAACGGUCCGUUAUGAUUAUUCCUACAUGUAUUUUGUAAGAAUUCCAUUCUCAAAAAAUGUUGGUGUAAAAGAUAUUGUUAAAAUAAACGAUUUAAUUAUUUAAAA